The sequence is a ribosomal RNA, 447 nucleotides long. It matches the Rfam family "Bacterial small subunit ribosomal RNA", at positions 21 to 480 of the family's 1533-position model.
UGCUCAGGAUGAACGCUGGCGGCGUGCUUAACACAUGCAAGUCGAACGAUGAAGACCGUGCUUGCACGGUUGGAUUAGUGGCGAACGGGUGAGUAUCACGUGAGUAACCUUCCCUUAACUCUGGGAUAAGCCCGGGAAACUGGGUCUAAUACCGGAUACGACCAGUCCUCGCAUGGGGUGCUGGUGGAAAGAUUUAUCGGUUUUGGAUGGACUCGCGGCCUAUCAGCUUGUUGGUGAGGUAAUGGCUCACCAAGGCGAUGACGGGUAGCCGGCCUGAGAGGGUGACCGGCCACACUGGGACUGAGACACGGCCCAGACUCCUACGGGAGGCAGCAGUGGGGAAUAUUGCACAAUGGGCGAAAGCCUGAUGCAGCGACGCCGCGUGCGGGAUGACGGCCUUCGGGUUGUAAACCGCUUUCAGCAGGGAAGAAGCGAAAGGACGGACCU